ACAGAGGGUGCGAGCGUUAAUCGGAAUUACUGGGCGUAAAGCGUGCGUAGACGGUUGCGUAAGUCAGAUGUGAAAGCCCCGGGCUCAACCUGGGAAUUGCAUUUGAGACUGCGUAGCUAGGGUGCGGAAGAGGGAAGCGGAAUUUCCGGUGUAGCGGUGAAAUGCGUAGAGAUCGGGAGGAAGGCCGGUGGCGAAGGCGGCGCUCUGGAACAUUUCUGACGCUGAGGCUCGAAAGCGUGGGGAGCAAACAGGA
This 253-nucleotide ribosomal RNA is filed under the name uncultured prokaryote. Its description in RNAcentral is "partial 16S ribosomal RNA". It matches the Rfam family "Bacterial small subunit ribosomal RNA", at positions 525 to 777 of the family's 1533-position model. The record is from RNAcentral.